This is a long non-coding RNA of Lagopus leucura (white-tailed ptarmigan), 772 nucleotides long. RefSeq lists it as uncharacterized. The record is from RefSeq and is a predicted model, not a curated record. NCBI's taxonomy places the organism in Eukaryota, Metazoa, Chordata, Aves, Galliformes, Phasianidae. The transcript has 2 exons.
GCCGUCGAGGAGCCAUGUUGAGUGUGGGAACGCUGCCGGGCGGAAGCGGCGUGUUUGCACCGCGGCUGGACGGAGCUUCUAGCGUUCUAAAUUCUUCUAAUUGGGGUUCUUCUCUUUGGGUUGUUUUCUACAUGGAGGAUAGGGUUACACACACACCUACAGGACGCUCUCCUGCUGUGUCAUGAGGAUCAGAGCCAACCCCAUUGCUGUGUACACUCUUCAAACCACAGAGGAUGCAGUUCUUAAUUGUGGCCCAAAUCCCUGUGGGUUUCUUCUCCUCCCACAGAGCUGCUCAUCCUGGAGGAGCACAGGCACGGACACGAGGCCACAGCAGCUCUCCCGUUGUGUCAGACAGCAGAGACAUUGGAGUGGAAGAAGGCCCUGUGGCUUCACAGGGGAAAUUGCACACAGUCAUUGACUUUCCAUCCAAAAGAUGAGGAUUUUCUUUUGCAGCACCUAUCAUACUUGUUUGGGUGGGUUUUCUUUUUCCAUUAUUACUAAUGCAAAACUUGCUGAAACUAAGUUACCUUAACCAUGCAUGGAGUGUUGUAGCAAACUUCCACUCACUUUGGGCUCUGAGGACUCAACUACCUUACAGCUGCCUGAUGGGCUCAGUUUAGCCACGCAAUGGCACCGUUCCUUUCCUGUUAAGCAGGUCAGGUGUAUAAACCAUCUGAUGUCGAUGCUUGGCAGUACUGCCUGCACCUGGAGACAUCGGGGUUUUCCAGAUUCCAGGACCACAUGCCUGAAAUAAAUUUGGGUUCUCCUCUAA